RNAcentral lists this ribosomal RNA (200 nucleotides) under uncultured bacterium. RNAcentral describes it as "partial 16S ribosomal RNA". It matches the Rfam family "Bacterial small subunit ribosomal RNA", at positions 8 to 230 of the family's 1533-position model. The record is from RNAcentral.
AGAGUUUGAUCCUGGCUCAGGAUAAACGCUGGCGGCGUGCCUAACACAUGCAAGUCGAACGCCUAUCGCAAGAUGGGAGUGGCGGACGGGUGAGGAACACGUGGGGAUCUACCCAGAGGUGAGGAAUACCGGCGAGAAAUCGCCGACAAUACCGCAUAGCCUCGGCAACGAGGAAAGUCGCAAGACGCCUGUGGAUGAAC